AUUGAACGCUGGCGGCAUGCCUUACACAUGCAAGUCGAACGGCAGCACGGGAGCAAUCCUGGUGGCGAGUGGCGAACGGGUGAGUAAUAUAUCGGAACGUGCCCAGUCGUGGGGAUAACGUAGCGAAAGUUACGCUAAUACCGCAUACGCACUAAGGUGGAAAGUGGGGGAUUCGCAAGAACCUCAUGCUCAUGGAGUGGCCGAUAUCUGAUUAGCUAGUUGGUGAGGUAAAGGCUCACCAAGGCGACGAUCAGUAGCUGGUUUGAGAGAACGACCAGCACACUGGAACUGAGACACGGUCCAGACUCCUACGGGAGGCAGCAGUGGGGAAUUUUGGACGAAAUGGGGGCGAACCCUGAUCCAGCAAUGCCGCGUGAGUGAAGAAGG
RNAcentral lists this ribosomal RNA (387 nucleotides) under uncultured bacterium. RNAcentral's name for it is "bacterial SSU rRNA". It matches the Rfam family "Bacterial small subunit ribosomal RNA", at positions 30 to 414 of the family's 1533-position model. The record is from RNAcentral.